CAAAAUGGAAGAUUUAUUUAUAAAAGCUGCAAUGGCAGGAUUAUAUAGGCAAAAAUCCAACAGGCAUAAUGAAAUUGAGAAUUGAAUAUCAAUGUGGAUAAUACUAUUAAGAAUGCAAACAAAUGGCGCUACUACUCUUCACUUUAUUUAUGUGCACACCAAAAAUAAUUGCAGAAAAAUCUUUGCCAUCUGUGAUCAGCUAAAGUCUAAACCACAAAAGAAAUGAAAAUUACAAAGAAAAGUCUCUGAAUGAAGCCAAACUUAGAAGCAGCACCCCAUGAAACUGAUGCAGAAGCCGAUCCUUGACCCCGCACCAUUCGCCCGCCAGCACCGGCUCCACCGCGGCCACCUCCACCACCUCUACCACCUCUACCGUCUGAUGCUACGAUCAAAGCAAUGAAUGUGACCAAAAGAAGUACCUUGGCAACGCUGCUUGAUGGGAGAUUCUUCAUGUUUAAUUAUAUUCAAGAAAGAAAGAAAGAUUUGCUCUUGUUUACCCUUUUCUUUGGACUAACAGAAGAAUAACAUGACAAUUUAGUCUAUUUAAAGAGAAAAACGAAGAAAGAUAUUUAUAAGAAGAAGGAGGAGGAGGUGGUGGCGCCCGUCAGAGGAAGCGAAGGGGAAUUUUGCGGCAAACUGCUGAGAAGGUGGUGGCGCCGUGUCCUCGUGUUUCUGUUUGUACCACGAGAUACAAAGCGUCGUUUCUCGCGUUAAGGUGUUGAAAACGUCAAGG
This 733-nucleotide unclassified non-coding RNA is filed under the name Hevea brasiliensis (rubber tree). The record is from RNAcentral. Lineage: Eukaryota; Viridiplantae; Streptophyta; Magnoliopsida; Malpighiales; Euphorbiaceae.